This 74-nucleotide transfer RNA is filed under the name Metschnikowia bicuspidata. Its description in RNAcentral is "tRNA-Val". It matches the Rfam family "tRNA". Rfam says of the family: Transfer RNA (tRNA) molecules are approximately 80 nucleotides in length. Their secondary structure includes four short double-helical elements and three loops (D, anti-codon, and T loops). Further hydrogen bonds mediate the characteristic L-shaped molecular structure. tRNAs have two regions of fundamental functional importance: the anti-codon, which is responsible for specific mRNA codon recognition, and the 3' end, to which the tRNAs corresponding amino acid is attached (by aminoacyl-tRNA synthetases). tRNAs cope with the degeneracy of the genetic code in two manners: having more than one tRNA (with a specific anti-codon) for a particular amino acid; and 'wobble' base-pairing, i.e. permitting non-standard base-pairing at the 3rd anti-codon position. Lineage: Eukaryota; Fungi; Ascomycota; Pichiomycetes; Serinales; Metschnikowiaceae. The record is from RNAcentral.
UAGGUUGUUAGAUUAGUGGUUAAAUCACGGUUUUUACACGACUGAGCCAUAGGUUCAAUUCCUAUACAACCUAA